Molecule: transfer RNA, 73 nt
Filed under: Anguilla anguilla (European eel)
Lineage: Eukaryota; Metazoa; Chordata; Actinopteri; Anguilliformes; Anguillidae
Rfam family: tRNA
About the family: Transfer RNA (tRNA) molecules are approximately 80 nucleotides in length. Their secondary structure includes four short double-helical elements and three loops (D, anti-codon, and T loops).
Source: Rfam by way of RNAcentral
GAAGAGGUGGUGCAGUGGGUAGCACUUUUAACUUACAGCAAGAAAGUUCUGGGUUCGAAUCCUUGGCCUUUCG